Molecule: ribosomal RNA, 215 nt
Filed under: Glomeromycotina sp.
Lineage: Eukaryota; Fungi; Glomeromycota
Description: partial small subunit ribosomal RNA
Rfam family: Eukaryotic small subunit ribosomal RNA (bases 40-215)
Source: RNAcentral
GGGUCAGUAGGUUGGUCGUGCCACCGGUACGUACUGGUCUCACUGAUUCCUCCGUCCUGAAGAACCUUAAUGCCAUUAAUUUGGUGUUGCGGGGAAACAGGACUGUUACUUUGAAAAAUUAGAGUGUUUAAAGCAAGCUAACGCUUGAAUACAUUAGCAUGGAAUAAUGAAAUAGGACGAUCGAUCCUAUUUUGUUGGUUUCUAGGAUUGACGUA